RNAcentral lists this long non-coding RNA (473 nucleotides) under Homo sapiens (human). RNAcentral's name for it is "HSALNT0402892". The record is from RNAcentral. Lineage: Eukaryota; Metazoa; Chordata; Mammalia; Primates; Hominidae.
CAGGCAUCCUGUGACCCAUCUUGGUCUGUCACUUGAGACCUCUCACCUUUUAUCUGGUCUUGAAAUGUACAGCCUGCAAAGGCCUCUGAGAUCUAUGUUUUUUGUUGUUGUUGUUUGGUUGGCUUUUUAGGACACAAAGAACUAUUUAAAAUCCAUCACUAUUUUCUGUUUCUGUUUUUAUUUUUUUCCAUACAACCUCUAGAUCAAGUGCAAACAACAGAGUAAAUUUUAUUUUAUGUGUACUAAUUCUCAAUUCAGUAUUUUUGACAUCAAUGGUUGAAGUGUCCUAGAUUUAGUUGUUAUUGUUCCACUUUAAUUUUUAUUUGCUACAGGAGCAUCAUGGUUCAGGUUAAGAGAUCAAACUAGUUGCUUUAUCAGAUACACCCUUACAUUCUCUUUCUCAUGCAAUACAGAUCUGUCAGCCACAAAUGUUAAACCUAAAAUAUCUACCAUAUGUUUUUCUCUGGAAAAAG